GGUUCCCGCCGGCGCCUCUCCCUCCACACAUCCCCGCAAGCUGAGGGAGCCGGCUCCGGCCUUGGCCAGCCCAGAAAAGGGCUCCCACAGUGCAGGGGUGGGCUGAAGGGCUCCUCAAGUGCCGCCAAAGUGGGAGCCCAGGCAGAGGAGGCGCGCCCAGAGCGAGCGAGGGCUGUGAGGACUGCCAGCACGCUGUCACCUCUCAGUCAGCGCCCACAGAUAAUAGCAACACACUAAGGUCCUCAAGGUACAUCGUUGGGAUCAAGCAACUUUGAUUGCAAGGAGAAGAAUAAAAACAAGAGGGACGACUGGACCAAGGUGCCAUGUGAAGUGACCUGUGAGGAUCAACCCAGUGAAGAUGCUUGAGGAAGACAUGCUAGAGCAAAAACUACAACUCUAGUCCUCUUGGAUAUUUUAGAUAAGGACUUUACCCACAUAAAAAAGGUGUUGCCCUGGGGACUGGCUGAGAGAAAUUACAGACUGUUACUCACUUCAAAAGAAACUGACUUUGCUACAAUGGUACUUACGUCACCAGAAACCAACACUUCCACAAAGAAUUUGAUUUGAUGGCAUCAUGUGGACAUAGAACUCUCAUAGUAAUGACCCAACCUGUGUUUCCAGUCAUCCUGAUGAACUCUCAACAAAAUCAGAUUGUUAUACUGUUGUUCUCACUUUACACCCAUAUUUUCUCUUGCUCCUAAAAAAGGUAUCUGGUAUUAAAUAGAAUUCUGUAUCUUAAAAACUUGCCAUUGAGAAAAAUGAGAAGUAAUUGUACAUUUUAAUACUGAAGGUUUUAAUAAAAAAAAGCAAUGUGAA
Pongo pygmaeus (Bornean orangutan) is the source of this 816-nucleotide long non-coding RNA. RefSeq lists it as uncharacterized. Lineage: Eukaryota; Metazoa; Chordata; Mammalia; Primates; Hominidae. The record is from RefSeq and is a predicted model, not a curated record. The transcript is spliced from 6 exons.